This 36707-nucleotide long non-coding RNA is filed under the name Citrus x clementina. RNAcentral's name for it is "Citrus clementina (C. clementina) long non-coding RNA (CCLE_LNC002462)". The record is from RNAcentral. Lineage: Eukaryota; Viridiplantae; Streptophyta; Magnoliopsida; Sapindales; Rutaceae.
UAAAUUAUAAAAUCAAAUCUUUGAUGUGUGUGUGUGUGUGUGUGUCUGUCUAUAUAUAUAUGAGUUAUGCAAUCAAAUGGAUACCCUGAAAUGUCUUUAAGUUCUUCCUGGUAAAUUGCCUGCAAAGUGUUAAACUCCAACUUAGCGAGCUCAAGUAAAAGGUGGUUCUUGUCCUCUCUUUUCUCAUAAACGUGUAUGAACCACCUUGCCUCCAACAUUGGGACUUUCCAAUGCAGAGGGAGCUCCACUGCACGCUUCGCUUGUUCUGCGACAAAUACAUGCUCUUCCUGAUCAUCACGUCUUUAAGAUGUUUACUGGUAAAUUGCCAGGCCUCCUCCAUGAUGCUUUCUCCUUCUAAGCUGUAAUACGAGGCUUUGUGCAAGCUCAGUAUUCCCUUGAAAUCAUCACAAAUGAAGCCUCCCUGGUCGUCUUUUAAACCAUUGAAAACCUCUGCAGCACUCAACCAAGAAACGUUACAUUCGUCAAAAUUUUUGAUACAUCUAUUAAUUAGAGAGAUAGAGAAAAAAAACUGAUUUGGGUUUCGCCCAUUUCUUUACAUUUAAAAAAAAAAGAAAAAAAAACAGAGAGAUCGAUUCAAGUAUUCAGAUCAUGCAUGUGCAUGAUCUGAAGGAAGCGAAUUAAUGAAAUAUACCUUGAGAAACAGGAUAGCCAUGUUGUCUAAGUAGUCUGAAUUCAAGGGAGGUUACAUACAGAUUUUCUUUUCUCCAAUUAUAAUCUUUAUUAUUGUUGUAGAUAUUAUUCAAUAUGUUCCUAAUCUCAGUCUCAAAACGAUAAGCCAAUCCAAGUCUUUGCAAGUUAUCAAUCAGCUCCAACUGAUCCAGAGGCUCGAUUACAUCUUUAAUCGCUAUCUUCACUUUUCCCUUCAGCUCUUCUGCUCGUCUUUUGCAUGCUUCAUCCUGUACACGCACAGCAUUUAGUUUUUAGUUAUUCAUGGUCCCAAUUUGAAAUGAACAAAGGAAAUUAAUACGUAAUAGUAAUAAUCAAUACCGUAUACUUGCUAUUCAGCCACUGCAAAAAAUCAUGGUCCCAAAUUGAAGGUUGGUAGUUUGCUGAUCUCCUAUCAACUGUCAAAUUAUCAUAUUUGGCGCUGACAAGGCAUUGGACUGGCUUAUUUUUGGCCAUGAUUCUGAUGGCUGCUUUAUUUGUUGUAAGAGGAAGACAUUUGAAACCAUUUACAGAGGUAACCAAGGUUGAGGGAUUAAUGCAAGAAGACAUUGGAUAUACAGAUGUUGUGUAAGCUAGCUUACUGUCAAAUUAUAUAUAUAUAUAGGCAGAGGAGAAGUUCAAGUGAUUUAUUUUUCGUGCUCAUUUUUUCUGAGUUUUGAAAGCGUUUAAUUUUUAAGUCUUAAUAGUACAAAGGUAUUUUAUUCAUUUGGGGGAAAAAAAAAGGAGUACAUCAUACUGUGCGAACGAGGUCAUUAUUGUACCAGAAGACACAUACAUCAUCCAUAUAUUCGGAUGAAUGUUGUAUAAUCUUUAUUUAUUUAUCUUUUUUUUUUCCUGCAUACAAAUUUUUUAAAGAGUCUUUCAAUAAACUACACAAUAAAUGCACGCAGAAAUGACAAGAAAUUCAUAAAUUCAAUUCUACUAAUAAAAGUUCUAUUUAUUACAUUAAAAUCUUGUUUUAUGUAGAAAUAAGAAUAUACAAAGUAAAUUUAAGGGAAAAAAAAGGCAUACAAAGUUGCAAACAAUAUCUUAAUGUUGAGCACUAACAUCAAAAUUCUAUCUGUUACAGUUAUAAAGUACUUUUGCGGAAAACAAAUUAAUAAAUUUCAAAGUGAUUAUCAACAAAAAGUUGAUUGGAGAUAAUGGAUUUUAAUAUAUUGUAGAUUGUGAUCAUUUGUAAUAAUUUCAAAAAACUUCCAUUUAACAGCGGUUGGUGAAUGGGUGUUGUAAAAUAAUUUUAAUAUUUGACAACAAGCGAAAGAAUGUUGUUAAAAACUCUUCAAUAGAUGUUCAAUCUCACAACGUUCUACAAAAGCGCGUUGUGAAAAAAUUCUAAUAAUUGACAACUAGUGUAAAAUCGUUAUAAAUUUUUAAUCCCAUUCAAUCCAUGAAUUAGUAAAAUUAAUCUAAAUUCAAUUCAUAAUUCUGCAGAUUAGAAGUGGAUUUGAUACAAUCCAUAUUCAUUCCACUUUUGCGAAUUCGAUACGGAUUUAAAAAAAAAUUCUUUCUAUUCAAUUCAUAAAAUAAUUAAAUAAAAAUUUUAAUUAUAAAAAUAAUUUUACUGCAUGCCAAUCAAAUUCAAAUUUAAACAAGAUCUAAAUAAAUCAAUAGUUUAAAUACGGGUUUAGGAAUGCUAUGUUAAUAGGGUCUUUAUACCGCCACCCCAACAUCUAUUAAAUCAAUCAACAUACGUUUUGAAACAAAUAUAAUCCGGAAGCCAUAUACCAUUUCAGCUUUACUCCCUAUUCUCUCUUAAAUAAAACUAUGAAAACACUGGAGUAAUUGGUUUCAGCUUCGGUGUAGGAUAGGUUGGAGGUGAUGACACGCGACGACAGCUACUGAAAGACUAUUCGUUUUUUAAGAUGCCAUUCAAAGUUUCGAACUUUAGCACACCAAAAUAAAAAAUCCUGAUGUUUCUGGAUCAGUGGAUGAAAAUCAACUUAAGUUUUAGAAUUAAAUCAAUACAAAAGUUGAAAUUUGAAAGCUUAUAUAAUUAAUUGUUGUCAACGUCCACCCUAACUAGAUUUUAACCUAUUUACUAGUAGUAUAACAUUUUUAAAUUUUAAAUUCUUUAAAUUAUAUACACACACGGAUUUGCUGAUUUUCAGGGAUUUGGAGAAGCAAGUCCAUUUCAUCAAUUGUCGAUUUUAAAAUUUUUCAAUCCAUCUAAUCUGUCAAUUCAGCUCUUCUGCUCGUCUUUUGUAUGUUUCAUCCUGUACACGCACAGCAUUUUGUUUUUAGCUAUUCAUGGUGCCAAUUUGAAAUGAACAAAGGAAAUUAAUAUGUAAUAAUAAUAAUAUUGAAUACCGUAUAGUUGCUAUUCAAUGACUGCAAAAAAUCAUGGUCCCAAAUUGAAGGUUGGUAGUUUGCUGAUCUCCUAUCAACUGUCAAAUUAUCAUAUUUGGCGCUGACAAGGCAUUGGACCGGCUUAUUUUUUGCCAUGAUUCUGAUGGCUGCUUUAUUUGUUGCAAGAGGAAGACAUUUGAAACCAUUUACAGAGGUAACCAAGGUUAAGGGAUUAAUGGAAGAAGACAUUGGAUAUACAGAUGUAGUGUAAGCUAGCUUACAGUUAUACUUGGCAAAGAUUCUCAAAUUAUUCUAUGGUUUGUGGUGAUGUUCGAGGUUAUAUAUAGGCAGAGGAGAAGUUCAUGUGAUUUAUUUUUCUCACUCAUUUUUUCUGAGGUUUGAAAGCGUUUAAUUUUUAAGUUUAAUAGUACAAAGGUGUUUUAUUCAUUUGGGGGGACCCACAAAGGAGUACAUCAUACUGUGCGAACGAGGUCAGUAUUGUGCCAGAAGACACAUACAUCAUCCAUACAUUCGGAUGAAUGUUGUAUAAUCUUUAUUUAUUUAUCUUUUUUUUUCCUGCCUACAAAUUUUUUAAAGAGUCUUUCAAUAAACUACACAAUAAAUGCACGCAGAAAUGACAAGAAAUUCAUAAAUUCAAUUCUACUAAUAAAAAUUCUAUUUAUUACAUUAAAAUCUUAUUUUAUGUAGAAAUAAGAAUAUAAAAAGUAAAUUUAAGGAAAAAAAGGCGGAUUCACCGAAGUUGCAACAGUUGCAACGUACCAGGAUUUUUGUCUUUUUGUGACUUCAGCUCUUCACCGUCCGAUUUAAUGAAAAAGCAGCGUCUAUGGUAAGGAUGUGUCUGUUUGGUAAUUAACGUUACGGUCCCUAUUUUUUUGAAAAUUCAACAAAGUUAAAGAGUUACAGCUUUUAAUGCACAAGUCUGAAUUAUCUCAAAAUUGUAAAUAAUUAGACAAUUAAAAUUAGGAGAAAUUUCAUUAACAUUUUCAUUGUUAAAAAUAAAAAAUAAAUAAAUUUAAUUUGUGAAUAAAAUUAAAAUUUAAAAUAUUAAAAAUUAUUUCAAAAAUCAUUUCCAAUUUCUUCAUCUUAUCCAUCUCAUGUGCCAUGAAGUGGAACCGAAAGUAAUUACAACAAAUAAUCAUAGAAUGAAAUAAUAGAUAUCGUCAAUUUAAGUUAGUAAAGCAUUAACCAAUUACUCCUUUCGUUAGCCUAAACCAUUAAUUUGGUUUAGUACCUAGAGGCUGGAACUUCAACAUAAAAUAAUUAAAAAAAUGUAAUUCCAGAUUAUUAAUUUAAGUUUCAACCUAAAUUGUAGUGAAAUUUCCCAGUUAUUACUAUUUUUUAUGAUGUUAUAUUAGUAUGUCAAUAUUUAAUAUUCAAAAUAGUAAGAAUAUGUUUAACAUAUUAACAUUUACAAAAGAGUAGAAGAAUAAAAUUCAUAAUUAUGAUACUUCAAUUCUAAUCAAAUUAUAUUGAUAUGCAUUAAUUCAAUAAGCCUAUACACCUAAAUAAGCUAAAUACUAGGAGCUUUACUAUUCCUAAGUUAUACAUUGUAGAUUAUUAUAACAGUCAUAGAUUAUUAUAACUUUUUUAAUUAACAUAACAUUCUCAAACAGUUAAUUAAAACUCUUUUGCCAAUUAAAGUUGGUAGAAAAAAUCGAAUCCCAAAUCCCGUACCAAAUGGUACAUGAUACGGUAUAUGACUUAAAAAAUAUUUAAAAUAAAUAGAAAUUUGAGAUUAAAUUUAUUCUCAUUAAAACUCGGGACUAGUCAGGACUUCAAUUGGGAUCCCGAUGGAAUCCUAAUUAUACCAAAUUAUUUUAAUUUUCUAAUUUAAUUAAAAUGUUAAAAAAAUCAUGCACAGCUUUUAGCUUUUAGUUAUACACGAUUGCAGAGAAUUCAUGGUCCCAAUUUGAAAUGAACAAAUUAAAUUAAUGUGUAAUAAUAAUAAUGAAUACCGUAUAGUCGCUAUUCAAUGACUGCAAAAAAUAAUGGUCCCAAAUUGAAGAUUGGUAGUUUGCUAAUCUCCUGUCACCUGUUAAAUUAUAAUAUUUGGCGCUGACAAGGCAUGGGACUGGCUUAUUUUUGGCAAUGAUUCUGAUGGCUGCUUUAUUUGUUGCAAGAGGAAGACAUUUGAAACCAUUUACAGUGGUAAACAAGGUUGAGGGAUUAAUGCAAGAAGACAUUGGAUAUACAGAUGUAGAGUAAGCUAGCUUACAGUUAUACUUGGCAAAGAUAUUUUUCUCCAUUUCCUUUGAGAUCAAUUUCAAAACGAAAGAGUUCAGCAGCUUUGCACGAAAACUCUGGAACACUAGUGAUUAAGCACUUGCGAUUAAACAAUUGUUUGUUAAUGUUUACACAGUGCGACAGAGGAGCCUGCCACCUCACUACACGUUAGUGUAGCACAUGAGAAACCUCCGUUUGAAAAAUUAGACUAGUUGGUAGCGGCCGUGCCCGGGAAGCCUCUCUUCUUUGACACAAUAUGACACAAAUUAUUAACAAUCAAAUCACAAUUUUGAUAAGUUUCGUGAAAUAUAAAAAUAAUAGAAAUACAGAUGAUUAAAAAUUUGUUAAAGUCAAUUUUUUUAUUCACUAUUUACAAAAGAUAUUUAUUAUAUUUUAGUGAAAAGGAGGUCUUAAUAUCUUUUAUUGAAAACUUGAAGGUUUAUAUGAUCAUUUCUUCAAACUAUAAGGUGUAGGUGUAUUUUUUCCUUAAAAUUAUAUUUUCAUACUUUUAUAAUAUAAAAGUAUAGUUUAUACUCAUUAUAGGACUGCGAAUAAGGCAAUUUAAUUAGGACGGCAUUAUCAUAGGUAAAUGAAUUGAAGGAACUACAAAGCUGAUAAAUUCGAUCGUUGCCGGAAUCAGAUAUUGGAUAGAGAAAGUCUUCUAAAAUGGACAAGUAGCUUUCCAGAGAAUUCAGUGCUAUGCAUGUGGCUUUUUCACAUGGAUUAAUUGGCAGCACUCAUCAGGCAUUGUAAAUUUCUAAUAACACAGUCAACAGUCAGGCUCAUGAAAAGAAAAUAUUUAUUUUUUUUUUUAAAUUAAUAACCACUAAAGAGGUAGGAGGUUAGGCAAAACCCCUAUCUGACGUAUAAAUCAAUAUAGGAGUAAUUAUAUAAGGACGAUAACAUAACUCAAAACCUCUUAAAAUAGAUGUAAAUACAUAAGAAUAAAAGAAAAGAAUACAUCAUCAAUUGAAACAAUAAACCAACAAUCCUAUCGUCUGAUAUGAGGAAAAGUUUGUGCAUCUAAAUAAAGAAUGCCAGAUAAGCCCAUAGUUAGAUCUCGAGCACACAAGAAACGCCGGCUAACCCGGUGAGAGCAAGUCCAAUUGGCCAUAAAAUCAGUAGCAUAUGUAGCCUCCUGAAGCACAUGUCUAAUAAAAAUAUGAGAGGAAGAUAUCAAAGCACACACCUGACGUAACAAAUAAACAUAAUCCCAACGAACAAGGCCCAAGGAAUGAAUCCAAGAAACCACCAUGGCUGAAUCUGAUUCUACCUCAAGUACUGAGUAUCCCAGAUGAGUAGCGAGCUCCAACCGCUUGGAAACAGCCAUAAGCUUAGCAUAAAGAGUCGGUUGGCAACUAAGAAAAGAUCCAAAAGCAGCCAAAAAGUCACCCUGAUGAUUACAAAGAAUACCACCAGCUGCAGCUAUCCUAAGAUUACCCCUAGAGAAACCAUCCACUAUUAAUUUUGCAACUCCAGGAAGUGGUCACAUCUAAGAAACGAAACAAAUCGGCCUCUUGGGUGGAAUUAUGACACACAAACCCUCCGUAAUCCAAGAACCCAAAACUCCCCGUAGCUGAGAGGGCUUAAAUCCCAAUGCGGAGCUAGCAAGCCUAAGGUCCAAUCCCACUUGGUGGAUAAUUGCAUCCAUAGAGAAGGUCUGCGAAUCAAACCUAAAAGUAUUGCGAGCUUUCCAAACUUGCCAUAAAAUAAAGUAAGGAAGAAAGACUCGAAUAUAACUUCGACAUAGUGCAUAUAGUGGCCAAUAACAAAGCAAAGCAUGCGGGGUUAAAAAAACCACAUGUCGCAUACCUAAAUUUCGCCAAAAAUAAGCCCAAAUUAGCCUAACCCGUGGGCAAUCAAGGAAAAAAUGCCGAGAAGUCUCAAUAGCCCUACCACAAAUAUAGCGAGAGACUAUACAAAAUCCUCUCAAAUAAGGCAUCAUCAGUAGUCAAAUAACCAUGCAACAGUCGCCAUAGAAAAAAGCCCUAGAAGCAGAUAAGCAAAAAAACCUCAUCUCUUGGCCUAGAGCAACACACAAGCUCCCACGCUGUCCGCAAAUAAAAAAAGCCAUCAUGGCCGGACGCCCACCGAAUUGUAUCAUGUUUUGUACUAAAGAUGGGAAACAAUAGAAUUUGUACAACGAUUGAAGAGGGUAACACAUCUUGGAGUUUACCCCGGUCCCAUACUAUGCCCUGCCAAUAAAAAAAAUCGGCGCCCCAGAAGCCAUUGCAGGGUUGUAAAAGGCCAAAGGGCAGGAGCCCAACUAGCAAUUAUUCCAAAAACUACACUCCCCUGACCAACCAACUAGCGUACAUAAGGUUCAGCAACCCACCGAACCGAACAUAGUCAUCUCCAAAGAGAAUAGACGGAAUAACGAACCUAAACCCGACUCAAAUGUAUAGCUCUACAAUACUUAGACCUCAUAAAAUUAGCCCAUUAGGAAUUUUUCUCCCGAAAAUGCCACCAAAGCUUAUACUCAAAAGCCUGAGAUAAAUCCUUAUAAGAUUUGAUACCCAGGCCACCCUCUUUAAUUAGAUAAUAUACAACCGACCAUUUACACCAAUGAAUCUAACGUCUUAAUUUAAAAUCACCACAUAAGAAUCAGUUAAAGAACUUCUCUAAGAGUUGUACUACAGCUGCAUGUGGGCAAAGAACAUGAAGCAAGUGUAAUGGCAUAGACAAUAGCACAUGUCGAAUAAGCACUAACUUUCCACCAAAAGAAAGCAACUGAUUGGCCUAUCCCGAGAUUUUAUCCCUAAUUUUUCAGACCAUACCACCGCUGAAAGUCAGUGAUCGAAUGGACAAUAACUUGUCGUGAAGUAGAAGCGAAAGUUCUAAUGUAAAAAUAGCUUUCGGCUUGAUUAAUUGAUUGCCCCGAAACCGCCUUAUACUGAUGUAAAAACUUUAUAACCCACCAAAGACUCGAUCGACUCUCAUUUAAAAAAAUAAUAAUAUCGUCUGCAAAGCUUAAAUGGGAAACAAAGAUAGGUGUAGCAGAACAAUAUCGCACAGAAAGAUACUGAGUAUAUAUACGGUCCAAACCUCGAGAUAGGAACUCAGUAGCAAUGAUAAAUAAACAUGGGAAGAGAGGAUUACCUUGCCUGAGACCUCCCUUAGACUGGAAAAAAAAAUCAUGGCUAACUCUAUUCACCAGCACUGAGAACCAAGGACCAAAGAUGGCUCGUCGAAUCAAAGAGACCCACUGCUCCGAAAACCCAAAACACCGUAACAUCUUAAUAAUGAAAUACCAGGACAUCCCAUCAAAAGGCUUUGCCAUGUCAAGCUUCACACCACAUUAUUUCCUUGAGUACAGUGGUUGAGAUCAUGGACUAACUCCUGAACCAAAAGCACAUUAUCGUGUAUCACUCUACUAUGGACAAAACCGCUCUGAGAGGGAGAAAUAAGACGAGGCAAUAAAGGGUCCAAUCUCAACGCAAGUAGUUUAGUCAGAACGUUGUUACUCACAUUACAUAAACUAAUCGGUCUAAACUAUGCCCAAGAUCGGGCACCCAAGAUAAGUGAAUGGAAGCUGAAGCAGCUGAAAGUCAGUGAUCGAAUGGACAAUAGCUUGUCGUGAAGCAGAAGCGAAAGUUCUAAUGUAAAAAUAGCUUUUGGCUUGAUUAAUUGAUUGCCCCGAAACUGCCUUAUAAUGAUGUAAAAACUUUAUAACCCACCAAAGACUCGAUCAACUCUCAUUUAAAAAAAUAAUAAUACCGUCUGCAAAGCUUAAAUGGGAAACAAAGAUAGGUGUAGCAGAACAAUAUCGUACAGAAAGAUACUGAGUAUAUAUACGGUCCAAACCUCGAGAUAGGAACUCAGUAGCAAUGAUAAAUAAACAUGGGAAGAGAGGAUUACCUUGCCUGAGACCUCCCUUAGACUGGAAAAAAAAAUCAUGGGUAACUCCAUUCACCAGCACUGAGAACCAAGGACCAAAGAUAACUCGUCGAAUAAAAGAGACCCAUUGCUCCGAAAACCCAAAACACCGUAACAUCUUAAUAAUGAAAUACCAGGACAUCCCAUCAUAAGGCUUUGCCAUGUCAAGCUUCACACCACAUUAUUUCCUUGAGUACACUGGUUGAGAUCAUGGACCAACUCCUGAACCAAAAGCACAUCAUCGUGUAUCACUCUACUAUGGACAAAACCGCUCUGAGAGGGAGAAAUAAGACGAGGCAAUAAAGGGUCUAAUCUCAACGCAAGUAGUUUGGUCAGAACGUUGUUACUCACAUUACAUAAACUAAUCGGUCUAAAAUAUGCCCAAGAUGCUGGGGGCGACUUCUUAGGAAGAAGACUCAAUAAUGUACUCUAAAAACCCUUGGGCAUAGUUGAACCUCUGAAGUAAUCAAAGACAACCUCCAAUAAAUCAUUGCUAAUAAUAUCCCAACAAAACUGAUAAAAUUUAUUGGAGAACCCAUCAGGACCCAGAGCACUGUCAAGAUCAAUGGAGAAAACCAUCUGCCUAACCUCAUCCAUAUCUGGCUUCUUACAUAGAUUCACAUCAUUCUGUACAGUCACUAGAGACAAAAUAAAAUCAAAGUCUGACGGCUGAAACUGUCUAAUACCACAUGUUAAUAAACCCUAAAAAUAGUCAACUACAGAAGCAGCAACGGCUGAUGGCUCAUAAAUUUAUUAAAAAAAAAGCAUCCUGAAUCUGAUGGAUAUGAAAAAGUUGACACUUCUUCUGAAUCAUCGCAUGGAAAAAAUGAGUAUUAGCAUCGCCUUCCCAAACCCAACGAACAAUGAACUGCUGACGCAAAAAACUCUCCUCACAAAGAAGAGCAUGUUGCAACCGGACUCUGGCCUCUGAAAAAAUAGCUCUAUCUACAACAGAACCAUGAAUAUCAUAUUGCCUCUUUUUCUUAGCAACGUCCUCUUCCGCCUCCUUGACCCAAUGAAAGACAUUACAGAAUAUAUCCUUAUUCCAAAUUUUCAAGUAAAGCUUCAAUCUAGCAAGUUUCUGCUGAAAAGCUCUCGUUCGAGAACUAAGUACCGGAGAAAUCCAAGGUUGCCUGACAACAUCCAAAAAGCUAGGAUGUUUAAUCCAAGCAUGUAGAAACUUAAACCUGGAAGGCCCUCUGGCUACAUUUUUAUCACAAGAUAAAAGCAAAGGAGAAUGGUCUGAAGCUGUACGAUUCAAGUGUGUAACACGAAACAAUAAGAAAUAAUUUGACCAUUGGGCAUUGCUGACUACCCUGCGUCUCCAAGUGUGACCAUUAGUCCAAGUGAAUUGACUACCAGUAAACCCUGUAGCCUCCUCCAAGCAAAAAUCUAAUAAAGCUAAUUAAAAGCAUCAAUUGUCUUCUGAAGUUGGGCAUGCCCACCAGAAAUCUCUUAUGCUGACUGUACAAUAUUAAAAUUCCCCCCAAAAUCCAAGGACACUCCUGACAAUCAGCAAAAGCCAUAAGGGCUUUCCACAAAUCCUCUCGCACUAACAUAAAACAACUAGCAUAUACAUAAAAAAUAAAAACAGGUUCAGGAAAUAGAUAAUGGCUAACCGGACAACGAAUCAAUUGGCCGAUAUCCUCAAGGAGCUCCACCGAGAAUGGCAUAGACCAAAACACCCAAAUUUUCCCAAACUGAAAAGACAAAGCAUGAUCCAUUCCAAGACGAACCUGAGUAGCCUCUAACCGAUCAGCUGAAAUAAAAGGCUCUAAAAUACAGAUCAGAGAUAGUCAAUGCAACCGAAUCAACUUUUGCAGCUUGCAGACUAUGAGGGCCUUAUUAAUGCCCCGUAUAUUCCAAAUCAUAGAGUUAAUUAUUAGGAAGGGGAAUAUUUGGAAGGUAGCCUACACUUGCUAUUUUUAUGAGAUUUUUGGCCACUUACAGGUGAGAAUUCUCGGGUCCUCAAGAUUUGUUAAAAACCGACCCUCAUCAUCACCGUGCUCUUCAUGACCAACGUCUAUAUCCGAAUGAGAAGACCAAUCUUGUUCUUGUCACUACCAAGAUCUGUUGAUUGAUUAUUCAUGCAGUGGUCAUUUAAACCUUUUUGUAACUGAGUGGAUUCAUCGAUGGGUAUCUGAUUGAUGAUCGAAGCAUCUAAAAUAUCACAAUCAUUAAUAACUGUUGUAAGUUGAGAUUGAUCAGGCUGCCUCGAUGAAGAAAUAGGAGGAUGAAGAGAAGUUAGGUUCUUGUGGCCGCUUAUCAACAAUAACAAGAUACCGAUCGGGACUAUUCACCCUAGGUUGGAUGUCUACAUUAGAAAGUUUACCCUUUUCUCUUGGCUGCCGACCUUGAAAUUCCCCCUGUUGAGGUUUACAAAGCCCGGGAUUAAUAAUAUAACAAGUAUCAGAAAUAUGACCUAAAUGCUUACACGAAGUACAAUAAGAUGGUACUCGCUCAAAAAUCACGUUCUGCCAAACCUUGAAAUCACCCUCACCAAUCCAUACUAGUGACAAUAAAGGCAUGAGACAUCAUACUCAAUCAGCACUCAAGAAACAGAUGGCCGAUUAACAGAUAUCGUUGCGUUUUCAACUCUCAAAGGUUUGCCAAUAGCUGAAGCUAUCGAAAAUAGAGCCGGUUUACAAUUAAUAAAAUGAAAAGCCAAAUAGGGAAAGGAUACCCAUACUGGCUGGGUGAAUAUUACGAUUCUGAGAAUUAGGAGGAGAAUUAUCACGAUUUUGGGUUUGAGUUUGGUUUCAUGUUUGGGUUUAAUGGAUUUGUUUGGAUGACAUUAUUGAAAAGGGUUGUCUAUUACGGGUUUGGGCUUGGAAAUUUGUUUCUUGGGUUCCGGUUUGGGUACAUGGGAUCGGGUCCAAGUUAGGGCUUUGUAACGUUUGUAGUUGUGAAGGUAAUGACUGCUUCUCCAGGAUUUUGGCUGUGUUGUUCAUGGUUGAAAGUGUGUUUGGUGGAUUUGGGUUGUAGAUGAUGACGGUGAAGGUUUUGGCCAGGUCAUGGCGCUGAUAGCGGCGGCAAAGAGCAUGGCAACAAGGUUGGAGUUGCUACCAAUGCAGCUGGAAUUUUCAGGAGUUGGAGCCGUCAUGGUUUCAGAUUGCUGGUGACCAUGGGACUGUUCACGGACAUCUUGAGAAGGUUCUCGAGGACUAGUUUGACCGUGAAAACCUGUCGGAGCAGAUAUGACUCAUUUUGUUGUUAUUCGUCAAUCCAGUGACGUGUGACUUAGGGAGUGACAGAUCAGUAUUUGGGAGAACUUGAGAUGAGAGCAGCGACAGUUUUGCAGUGUCUGCGGUGGUUAAAGAGGAUGCAGCGGUGGCCUAUCUGUUUGGAUGCGAGAUCAGUGAGUUUGGGUUGUUAUUUUGCUGUGUUGGUGAUGUUUUUGAUAACAUGGCAAUGUUAGGAUGAGCAUGGGAUGGUGGCAGAGGAUCGAAAAUGAUUUCAGAUGCAGCUAAAGUGGUGGCACCUGCGGCAGAAUUGAUGGAGGAAGAAAGCCGAUAGUUUGCUUUGCUGUUUUCGGUUUGUAGGCCUAAGUUUGAGUCUGCCGGAUAGAGAACUGGUCACUGGCAAAUUGGGGAGGUUCCGAUGGCGGUUGAUCAUCACUAACAGCCGCCGAUGAAGCCAUAGCGGCUGGUCAAAGGUUCGGUCAAUCGUGAUGAUGGUGCUGUGCUUUUGAAACUUUUUUUAUUAUUUGUUUUUUCUUAUUAACAUUAAAGAAAUAAUAAAAUAAAUUAAAAUUAAAGAUUUUAAUAUUUGAAUUUCGAUUUAUAUCCUAACUAAUGUGUAGCUGGAGGCGAAAUUUUGAGAGGACUAGAAAUUGAGCGCAGCUCUCUACCCUUUUAUAUAUAUAUAUAUAUAUAUAUAGACACAAACGACAGUGUUAGAGAUUUGUUUCUAGAAAUGAAUACAAUAAUGGAAGACAAAAUACACUAAUCCAAUAAUUAGGCGCUCCUGUAUUUAAGCUAAUCCAAUAAUUAGGAACUCAUUUUUUUUUAAUACAAAUGGGCUCUCAAUCAAAGAGCUAAGAAUGAGCUAAACAGGGGUCAAACACUCCAUACAUCAUGAAAAAGCAGAGGCUUAAUACUUUUAGGGGGGCUUGGAAACAUGUGAAGAGCCGAUGCGAGAGAAAUAGUGAUGUUAGCCAUAUGAUUUGCAGCAUAGUUGGCUUCCCGGUAUAUAUGAUUGAUGCGAACAGUCCAAUCUCGCUUGAUAAGCUCUCACCAAAUAAGGGGAGAGAAUUCGAAGUUCAAACAAGAAGAAUUGGCAACCAUCUGAUACGCACAUAAGCUAUCCACCUCCACUUGAUGCCAGCGUAUACCCAAUUGCCAAGCAAUGAUCAGCCCCUGGAAAAGACCCCAUAGCUCAGCCAUCACAACAGAACAGGAUCCAAUAUUCACGCCGAACCCCUUCACCCACCCUCCAUUAUGAUCCCGAAUUAAACUGCCAACCGAAGACACUCCUAACUGCUUGCAUGCCCCAUCAGUGUUUAACUUGUACCGUGGCCAUAUCGGAGUAUACCACCCAACCAAUUUCUCACACUUUCUUCCACUAAUCAUUAAGGUAGAAUUAUACAAGCUUUGAAUCUCUUCAGCUCUGCCCAAGACAUCAUGAAACAUGUCAUUUCUACCCAAAAAGGAGUGCUGUAAAAUAAAUUGGUUCCUUCAGAACCAUAAUCGCCAAAUUGCCACCCCAAAGAAACAUGUCCAUUUCAAACCUUUAUGGAAGGACCAUUGAUCAUCGAGAUUUUCCCGCAAGCAUUCUCGCAACCCUGGCUUGUAUAACUCUUCCUGAUGAGCCCUGGGAAUAACUAGAUUCCAAAAACUCUUAGCAACCAUACAAUCUCGUGAUGUCCUCCAUAGGAGCGCCACACCUAUCGCACUCACAACUAUGAACAACAUGCCUUCUCAAUAACUCUACUUUUAUUUUAAGUUGUCCAUGGAGUACCAGCCAAAUAAAUAUACGCACAUUAUGGGGCCCCUGCCAAUGCCACACCAAGUUCCAAAUUCUGUCUUCCGCUUGAUACCGAUGGGAACUAAUGGCAUGGUAGGCAGAUUUAACCGAAAAAUUCUCCAUUUUUAGAGUUCACCCAAUAAAAGCAGUCAUUUCCACACUGAGCUAAAGGGAGAACACAAGAGGCUAUCUGCAGAAUAAUGUUAUUAGGUAGAUAACGUUGAAACAGCUCCCACCUCUAACUACUAUUACUAUCUAUGAAAUUAGCCACUACAUUGUAGAUUAUGUCAUCGGGUAUCGGACAAAGAGCUUCAGAAAUCAGAGGUUUUUCUUUUAUCACCCAACGGUCCAACCAAAAUUGGACUUUAGUGCCAUCACCUAUAUUCCAAGCAACACCUGAGAGAACGUCAGUCCAAACCUUCCCAAUCGACUACCACAAGUGGGAGCCAUUUCUACAAGGCAAUUCAGUAGGAUGGACAGAUAAAUCCACCCCAUAUUUAGUUGACAAAACCUGAGGCCAUAGACUUGAAGGAGAUAAAAGAAUACCCCAACCAACCUUCAUGAGAAAGGACUUAUUCAUCCCAUCCAGACUUUUGAAGCCUAAACCGCCAUUAAUUUUAGGCUGACAAAUAUUAUUCCAACUGACCAUACUUAGUUUUUGAGAAGUUACAGCACCACUCCAUAUGAAACGCUUGCAUGCAUGGUCUAUCUUCAGCUUUAUCCCAGCAGGAAGGUCGGUUGACUGCAUUGCAUAAAUAGGGAGAGCUUGCAAAAUAGAUUGGGCUAGCGUAAUCCGGCGAGCCAAGGAUAAGUGGGAAACAUUCCAUCCAGAGAGCCUUAUCUACAUGUAGAUGCAGCAACCAGAUGGAUUCAUACAAAAAGGCCAAGAACACAUGGUAUGUAACUUAUAGAGAUCCAUUUAUGGAUUAAAGCAAGCAUCCCGGUCAUGGUACAUCAGAUUUGAUCAAGCGAUUAAAUCGUUUGGAUUCAUUCAAAACAUUGAUGAACCAUGUGUGUACAAGAAAAUUCAAGGAAAAUAUGUAGCCUUCCUAGUUCUUUAUGUAGACGAUAUUCUCCUAAUUGGAAACGAUAUAGGAGUAUUGACUACAAUAAAGAGUUGGUUAGCCAAACAAUUUGAUAUAAAAGACCUGGGAAAGGCAAGUUAUAUUCUUGGUAUCAAGUUACUACGAGACCGGAAGAAUAAAACUUUAGCACUGUCUUAAGCAGUCUAUAUCGAUAAGAUAUUGGCGAGAUUUAGUAUGGAAAAUUUCAAGACUGGUUUAUUACCAUUCAGACAUGGAAUUACAUUCUCUAAGGAUCAAUCACCUAAAACAUCUGAAAAGAUAGAGAAUGAGACGAGUUCCUUACGCAGAAGCUGUGGGAAGUCUCAUGUAUGCCAUGCUUUGCACUAGGUCAGACAUCUGUUUUGCAGUAGGGAUGGUUAGUAGAUAUCAAUCUAAUCCUGGACUUGAACACUGGACUGCGGUCAAGCAUAUAAUAAAGUAUCUGAAAAGAACUAAAAAUUAUAUGCUUGUGUAUUCUGGUGAUGAACUCAUUCCAGUGGGUUAUACUGAUUCUGACUUUAUGUCAAAUAAGGAUUCCAGAAAAUCAACUUCCGGCUAUAUGUCUACAUUGGGAAGUGGAGCUAUUAGUUGGGGGAGUGUGAAAAAAUCUUGUAUCGCAGACUCCACAACUGAAGCUGAAUAUGUGGUUGCAUCCGAAGCCGUAAAAGAAACUAUAUGGCUCUGCAAGUUCCUACAAGAUCUUGAUGUAGUACCUGUUGUAAUUGCACCCCUUAAACUAUUUUGCGAUAAUAAUGGUGCGGUAGCUUAAUUUAAGGAACCAAGGAACCACAAGAAACAAAACAUAUUGAGAGGAAGUAUCAUCUUAUAAGGGAUAUAGUGUAGAGAGGUGAUGUGGAGGUUACUCAAAUUGCGUCACAGCAAAACUUGGCAGAUCCUUUUACUAAGGCCAUGCCUGGGAAACCUUUUAAGUUCCACUUAGAAUCCAUGGGCAUGCGUGAGAUGUCAAAUAUGCUUUGAGAGCUAGUGGGAGAUUGUUGGGAAAAUAUGCUCUUUAAAAGCAUAUGUGUUUAUUUAAUUGUAAUAAAUAAUUUUUCUUACUAAUAUAAUAAAUGAGGUAUUUUAUUCAAAUAUCUUAAUUGCAUUAAUAUUUUGAUUAAAGUUCAUUUAAUCAUAUUAUAUGUAUUUAUGUGAUCACUAUGUGGAUUCACAGAAGACAUAAAUACAAGUUAUCUUAUGAUUAAAUAAAUUUAGUUCGCAGUUGAUAAAUAAAGUUGGACACUUUAUUUAAGUAUAGACUGUAAUGAAUUCAUUGAAGGAUUUGUCUUAAUCAUGUAUGAAUUUAUUGAUGUAGUACGACUACAUUGAACAUGAUCACAUAUGAGAUUUAAUUAACCUUGAAAUGACUAUCAGACUUAUUAAAUCUCAUAGGCAUUGAUUUUACAGUAAUCUUAAUCUUGAGUUAGUUAUGAUUUCAUGAUUGUAAUUGUUAUUCCAUUUGAGUUACUAAUGGGCACGACACACAACUGUGGUCAAGAUUACCCGGUAUCUUGGUGGGAGGAAUUAUGAGUAUUGGAGUUAUAGAUUAACAAUAUAGAAUUUGUACAGCACAUCUCUUGAUGGGUUUUCGGCACUUGAUCAUAGAAUUCUCUUGCCAGAGUGUGUCAACAUAUUUAGUAUGUUGAAAAUUAUCAUUAGAGAGAACCAGUAAGUAUCAAGGAAUAAGAUGUAAUUAAAUCGAUUAGACAGUUGAGAUAUCGAUUUAAUUAACGAUGUGGUUCAAAGGAUUAUGCAAUAAAGAAAUCAAUGUGGCUUGGGACGAAUUAUUAUUCGAGCAUACAAUUAUGGAGGUCAGUUCCAAUCUUUUAGUAGAGUAGAUUUGGAAUUAAAUAAUUGGGCUAGUUUAAUUACAAGCCUAAUUAUUAUAGCCACUAUUAUUUAUUCCCAAAUGAUCCCCAUGUUUGCUCAUUUAAUUGACUGCACCACUACUGGAUUAAUAAGUAAGAUAACUAACUAUUUAGGUUAAAAGCCUAAAUAUAUUAUUUAGUGGGAGGCUUCAUAUAAUGUACUUGUGUCUAAGGGGCCUUGUGUUAUUUUACAAGGGUGGCCCUUAUAUCAAGAAAGAAGUAACGCUACUUUUGGUUUAUUAUUUUUAAUUUAAAUCAAACUUGAUUUAAUAGAAUAAAAUAAUAUUAAAAAAAUAGAGCCUAGGGUUUCCACUAGAUAGAGUUAUAAAAAGGCUUAUUUUCUCCCAAAAUAAGGUAGAGCAGUCACUUUAUACAUAUCAGAGAAAAAGAUUUUUUUCUCUAAUUUUGAGAGAAAAAUUUUCUUGUGCUAGUUGCUUUAGUGGUUAUAAAGGCACCCACAUAUCAAGUGCAGAUCAAAUUUGAGUCAUAACCUAGAAGAUCAUUGGUGACAGUUCUUGAUCUAACAAGUGUGGUGGUGAUAGAUCAUGAUCCAACAGGCGUGGUGGCGACGGAUCGUGAUCUAGGAGCCUAGUUUCACUUCAGCGGAAAAAGCAAAGAUUGUUCAUCUUCUCAGAUUUUCAAGGUACGAUUUCUAGAUUAUGAAUUCUUAUAUAUUAUAUGAGAUCGACCCUAGAAACUUUUUUUUAAUUUAAAAAAUUGAUUUUUCUCCAAUAAUUGGUAUCAGAGCCUUCUCAUAUUAAUAUAUAAGAAUAUCGUAUGAAAUCAAUCUCGAUAUUUAUGUAUUAGAGUGGCACAGUUUAUUCAGAUAUAUAUUAUUUGUUUAAUAUAUGAAUAAAGCAUGCUUAUGGUUUGUCUUAAUUCAUGGUUAGAUUUUUCGUUGUAUUUUUUCUUUAAAUUUGUAACAAGAGGGGUGAUAUUUUAUCACUAUGUUUCCUUCUUGAUUUAUUUUAGUGUUAUGGAAAUUUUGUAAGCCAAAAUUGGCCUAGGAAAUUUGUAAAUCGCUGGAGAUUAAUCACGCAACGAUAGAUCAAAGGAACGAAGGUCGAAAAUUUCAGCAAAGUGCGGCCAUGUCAGCAGCAGCGUGCGCGCAACCAGCAACGCGUGCUACAACCAGCGCUGCAAGUAACUCGCCCAGCAGCUGCAGCGCGCGACCAGUAGCGCCACCAGCUGCACGAGUAAAGGCCUUCCGGUGUAGCGUGGUGGCGGGUGACUCGUUUUUUGGCUUUCCGGUGCGGACGCAACGUUUAACUUGGCGUCGAAGAUGGCUGGAAAUUGUGAACGGCUGGUUGUUUGAGGUGGUGGCAGCUGGGGAAGAAGGAAAAGAAAAAAAUGAUUUUAGGGUUUCACAGUUAUUAUCAUUGGGGUCCCUAUAGUUUCACAUUUUUUUCCUUUGGGUAGAAAAGUCUUAAUUGUUUACAUUUAAGUCCAAAAUAGUUUUGGACUUAAAGAAUCCUAGUUUUAGGCCCAAUUUCAAUUGAGUUUAAUGGAUUAAAAUGCAUAGAUAAAAUUGGACACAUUAAAUUUAUUUUUUGUCCAAAAGUUUUAUUUUAAUAAAAAAAAUUAAUUAUUUAUUUAUUUCCUUUCAAAAUUAAAAUUGAACCAAUAAUAAAUUUAAAAGCUCAAUUUCCCCUAGUCCAUUAACAAAGACAAGUCUAUGGAAGAUGGACAUUAACAAGAAGCCCAAUGAAGAUUAGGCUUAAGGUUAAUGUAUUUUUUCAUUUUAGGAAAGCCAUAAAUUAAGAUUUUUUAAUUAUUUUUCUAUAUGUUAUGUUUUGGAUGAUAACAUGUCAUAUAGAAUAAGUAGUGUCACUCUAUGCAUAAUGAUACAUGUCAUUCAUAUAUUAUGCAUCGCGUUAUAUUGUUUGUAAUUUGCGUAUGCUUAAUAAUAUUGGAUAUCAUCUAGAUAAUAUUAUAGGAAGCAUACAAUUAACAAUAUGUAUGUUUUAAAAAGGAAAAACUAAUUUUAAAAUAUUAAGUGGGAGAGGGAAAAUUCAAGAUAAUUUUUCUACGGGCUCCAUUGUUAGUUCAAUAAUAAAAUUAUAUAUAUACCUCGACUUCAUGAUACGGUGAUACUCCCUUCGGAGGGUAUAUAUAUUAGAUAUUUUAUUUGAUGAACUUUUUAAAGAUAAAAUUGAAAUAUUUUUCAAUCGAUUGUUCACCCCAACGGUGACUAUUGAUAUGAAAAAUACGUAGAUUGAAACAAUGAUUAUACAUUCAACUAAAAUUUGUUAUUAACCUUUCCAACGAAGCUCUGUUAACAAAUUUAGGCCUAAAAUGAUAACGAUAAUUAUUUAUCAUGUCUCUACAUGAAAGUAAAUAAUCCAAUGGGUAAUUGGGUCUAGUAAGUGUAGACUCGACUUCCCCAAUUGAUAGCUUGUCAAAGCGGUACUAGAUUAUUGUUACAAUAAAUUAAAAUGCAUUUAUGGUUUUAUGCAUUUUUGUCAUUUAUUGUGAAUAUUAUUUCAAAUUAUUUAUGCAUGGAUGUUUUAUUUUUCAGAAAAUGUCUUUCCUAAGCCCACUUACUAUUAUUCUGAGUCAAAACAAACUUACUGGAGAGAACUAUAUAGAUUGGAAAAGAAAUCUAUUCAUUAUCCUGACUACUGAAAAUUAUAAAUAUGUCUUAACCCAACCGUGCCCUCCAGUUCCAGUGGAAGAUGCUCAUACAAAUCAGAUGAGGCUUUAUGAGAAAUGGCAAAAGGCUAAUGAAAUGGCAAAAUGCCACAUUUUAGCCUCAAUUUCUAAUAUUCUACAGACCAAAGAUCAGAACUUGGAGACUGCCACUGAAAUAAUGGAUAGUCUCCAACAGAUGUUCGGGUAGAGUACUCGUUCCGCGAGACAAGCAGCGCUGAAAGGAAUUAUGAACAGUAAAAUGGGGAAGGGCACAAGAGUUCGUGAUCAUGUCCUCAAAAUGAUGGACUGUUUGAAUAAGGUUGAGAUUCAGGGAGCACAAAUCGAUGAUAACUCAAAGAUUGACAUGGUGUUAGAAUCUCUGCCAGAAACAUUCAAGGAGUUUAAGGUCAAUUAUAACAUGAACAAAAAAAACAUUACCUUAACUAAAUUGAUGAACGAACUUCAUUCGGCUGAAGAGAUCUAUCGUGCUGAGAAAUCUCUGGGAAGCAUAAAUAUUGCUGAAAAAGGUUCUUCUUCUAGACCUAAGCCGAAAGGCAAAGGUAAGAAGAAAGCUGGGAAAAAGAGACCGUUUACCAAGCAAGAUGGCAAGCCGAAAUUAAAUACUUCAAGUGUGAACAGAAAGGUCAUUGGAAAAAGGAUUGCCCUAAGAUUGUGAAAUCAAGUAUGGGAAAUCGUUUUGUAAUUGAGGCAUGUUUAGUUCAGAACUCUAUUGACACUUGGGUGUUGGAUUCAGGAGCAACUAAUCAUAUCUGUAAUUCACUUUAUUGGUUUCAGGAAACCAGGAAAAUAAGUGAAGAAAGCGUCAAGCUACAGUUAGGGACAUGACAGUUCGUGUCAGCAGUGAAGACUGGAUCUGUUUUAUUAUCUUUUAAUAAUAAAACUUUAAUUUUGAAUAAUUGUCUUUAUAUUCCAGACAUUAAGGGGAAUUUAAUUUCAGUAGCUUGUUUGUCAAAGUAAGGGUACACUGUAAAUUUUGGAUCCUCUGUUUUUAUUUUUUAUAAUAAGAGACUUAUUUGUUCUGGUACAUUGGAAGAUAAUUUAUAUCAUUUAAGUCCAAUGAUCCAUUCUAUGCAUGACAUAGUGAUCAAUAAUUAUGAGCAUACACAUUUAUCUAAGAAAAGAAAUAUUUCUUCCAACCAAUAUUACCUUUGGCAUUUACGCUUGGGUCAUAUAAACCAAAAUAGGAUACAUAGAAUGAUCAAAGAUGAGCUCUUGGGUCCAUUAGAAAAUGAAUCAUUGCCACUCUGUGAAUCAUGUUUAGAAGGAAAAAUGACCAAAAGGCCAUUCUCGGCCAAAAGAGUACGUGCAACAGUACCACUUGAAUUGGUACAUACAGAUGUAUGUGGACCAAUCAAUAUAAAAGCUCGAGGAGGUUAUGAGUAUUUCAUUACUUUCACUGAUGAUUACUUAAGAUACAGUUAUGUUUAUCUAAUGCGUCACAAAUCUGAAGCUCUUAAGAAAUUCAAAGAGUACAGGGCUGAGACAGAAAAGCAAUUAGAUAAGAACAUAAAGAAACUUCGAUCUAAUCAAGGUGGUGAAUUUCUCUCAAGAGAUUUCAAAGAGUAUCUAGUUGAAAAUGAGAUUAUAUCUCAGUUGACUGCCCCAGGAACACCACAAUAAAAUGGGGUAGCUGAAAGGAGAAAUAGAAUUCUUUUGGAUAUGGUGAGAUCUAUGCUUAGUUAUUCGUCAUUACCAAUCUCUUUUUAGGGACUAGCACUGGAAACUGUAGUUUACCUCUUGAACUUAGUUCCAUCUAAGUCAAUGCCUAAAACCCCAAUAGAAUUAUGGUCAGGUCGUAGACCAAGUUUACGACAUGUCCGUAUUUGGGGAUCACUAGCACAUGUGCUGAAACCAAAGGCAGAUAAAAUGGAUUCACAUUCUGACGUUUGUAUAUUUAUGGGGUAUCCUAAAGGAACAAGGGAAUGUUUAUUUUAUAGUCCUCAAGAUAGGAAAGUGAUCGUGAGCACACAUUUCACUUCCCUUAAUAAAGACUAUAUGAAUAACUUCAAACCUAAGAGUAAGGUAAUACUUGAAGAACUGUCAGGUGAUCAGGUUGAUGCUCAACUUUCAACACUUGUUACAGAACAGGAAGAACAACAACAACCAGCUAAUCAACACAGGAUUAUCCCUGAACAACCAUCACUUUUAGAAUUUCAUCAUAGUGGGAGGGUAACUAGGUUACCUGCGAGAUACAUGUUAUUAGGAGAAACCUAUACGGCUAUCUCAGAUGAACAUGUAUAAGAUCCUACUAGCUACAACGAAGCUAUAAUAGAUAGAGAUGUUGAAUUUUAGAAAAAGACCAUGAACCAAGAAAUGGAAUCCAUGUACUCCAAUAAAGUCUGGGAACUUGUAGAGGCACCAAAUGGGGUAAAACCUAUAGGGUGCAAGCGGAUCUACAAGAGAAAAAGAGAAGUAGACAGAAAGGUGGAAAUAUUUAAAGCAAGAUUAGUAGCCAAAGGGUUUACUUAGAAAGAGGGAAUUGAUUAUAAGGAAACCUUUUCUCCAGUUGCUAUGCUUAAAUCCAUCAAGAUUCUGCUCUCCAUUACUGCAGUGCUAGAUUAUAAAAUUUGGCAAAUGGAUGUCAAGACUGCCUUUCUUAAUGGGCAUCUUGAAGAAGACAUCUACAUAUAGCAACCAGAUGGAUUCAUACAAAAAGGAUCAAUCACCUAAAACAUCUGAAAAGAUAGAGAGAAUGAGACGAGUUCCCUAUGCAGAAGAUGUGGGAAGUCUCAUGUAUGUCAUGCUUUGCACUAGGCCAGACAUCUGUUUUGCAGUAGGGAUGGUUAGUAGAUAUCAAUCUAAUCCUGGACCUGAACACUGGACUGCGGUCAAGCAUAUAAUAAAGUAUAUGAAAAGAACUAAAAAUUAUAUGCUUGUGUAUUCUGGUGAUGAACUCAUUCCAGUGGGUUAUAUUGAUUUUGACUUUAUGUCAAAUAAGGAUUCCAGAAAAUCAACUUCCGGCUAUGUGUUUACAUUGGGAAAUGGAGCUAUUAGUUGGGGGAGUGUGAAAAAAUCUUGUAUCGCAGACUCCACAACUGAAGCUGAAUAUGUGGUUACAUCCGAAGCCGUAAAAGAAACUAUAUGGCUCCGCAAGUUCCUACAAGAUCUUGAGGUGGUACCUGCUGUAACUGCACCCCUUAAACUAUUUUACGAUAAUAGUGGUGCGGUAGCCCAAUUUAAGGAACCAAUGAACCACAAGAAACAAAAACAUAUGGAGAGGAAGUAUCAUCUUAUAAGGGAUAUAGUGCAGAGAGGUGAUGUAGAGGUUACUCAGAUUGCAGCACAGCAAAACUUGGUAGAUCCUUUUACUAAGGCCAUACCUGGGAAACCUUUUAACUUGCACUUAGAAUCCAUGGCCAUGCGUGAGAUGCCAAAUAUGCUUUGAGAGCUAGUGGGAGAUUGUUAGGAAAAUAUGCUCUUUAAAAGCAUAUGUGUUUAUUUAAUUGUAAUAAAUAAUUUUUCUGAUUAAUAUAAUAAAUGAGAUAUUUUAUUCAAAUAUCUUAAUUGCAUUAAUAUUUUGAUUAAAGUCCAUUUAAUCAUAUUAUAUGUAUUUAUGUGAUCACUAUGUGGAUUCACAGAAGACAUAAAUACAAGUUAUCUUAUGAUUAAAUAAAUUUAGUUCGCAGUUGAUAAAUAAAGUUGGGCACUUUAUUUAAGUGUAAACUGUAAUGAAUUCAUUGAAAGAUUUAUCUUAAUCAUGUAUGAAUUUAUUGAUGUAGUACGACUACAUUGAACAUGAUCACAUAUGAGAUUUAAUUAACCUUGAAAUAACUGUCAGACUUAUUAAAUCUCAUAGGCAUUGAUUUUAUUAUAAUCUUAAUCUUGAGUUAGUUAUGAUUUCAUGAUUGUAAUUGUUAUUCCAUUUGAGUUACCAAUGGGCACGACACACAACUGUGGUCAAGAUUACCCGGUAUCUUGGUGGGAGGAAUUAUGAGUAUUGGAGUUAUAGAUUAAUAAUAUAGAAUUUGUAUAGCACAUCUCUUGAUGAGUUUUUGUCACUUGAUCAUAGAAUUCUCUGGCCAGAGUGUGUCAACAUAUUUAGUCUGUUGACAAUUAUCAUUAGAGAAAAUCAGUAAGUAUCAAGGAAUAAGAUGUAAUUAAAUCGAUUGGACAGUUGAGAUAUCGAUUUAAUUAACGAUGUGGUACAAAGAAUUAUGCAGUAAAGAAAUCGAUGUGGCUUAGGACGAAUUAUUAUUCGAGCAUACAAUUAUGGAGGUCAGUUCCAAUCUUUUAGUAUAGUAGAUUUGAAAUUAAAUAAUUGGGCUAGUUUAAUUAUAAGCCUAAUUAUUGAUAAGUGCAUAUUUUUCAUAUAUUUUGUUAUUAAUUUCUCCGUCUUUUUCUUGUUUUGAUCUUAAAUAUUCUAGUUAUUUUAGUUAAUUUUUAAUUGAAUAGGGAAUUAAUUAAUAUACAUAUUUUACCCUUUUAUUAUAUAUUUACUAGUUAUUUUAUUUCUUAUUUUUAAUUAAUUGUAUUAUUUUAUUGAAUAGAGAAUUAAUUGGAGAUUGUGGAAAAAAAAAGGCAUGAAGAAAUUCAAAUUGAGAAGGAAUAAAGAUUAAAUUGGAAGACAAAAAUACAGUCCAGAAUCGAUAGAACCGAGUGGAAGAAAUCAAAGCAAUUAAUCCAAUUGAGAAAUGUUGAAUAAUUAAAAGAUUUAAUUUUUCCAAUUGGCAAUUGGAUGCACGUGCAUGGCAUUGCAAAAGUGGAAAGCAAUUUAAACGGGCCCGCAAUUGACUUUCAAAAGUUGGAAUUAAUGGUUUUUGGUGGUGUUAAAUUGGAAAAGGAUUUCAAUUAGAAUUGAAAAAGGAUUUCUUUAGACUUGUUGGAGAAGAAUUCGGUCAUCUAGCAUUAUAAAAGGAGAGCUGCCAGAGAGCGAGAAAGAGGUGUGCAGACGCAAUUCGGGCAAAGGAAAAUCAGCAGCCGCAAGGAGAAGAAAUAAAUCAGCAGCUGGAAUUAAGUUAAAGCAAAGGCAGCCGCUUGAAUUAAUCUCCAUGAUUGGUUUUGUCAAUUCUCUUAUUCCUAAUUCAAUUAUGUUAUGCUAAAUUUUUAUUUGGUUGAGGGUGAAUUCAAAACCCUAAACAUGCUAUGCAAUUAAAUUUAAAUUCUAUCAUUCAAUUUAUUUAAUUGAGAUUGUUUAUACUCUUCUAUAAUUAAUGUUCAUGGUUUAUUCUUGUUUUAUUUGAGUGGCCAAUUAGAUAGGACUUGAAUAAAUUUUAUUGCUAGAUUAAAAUUCUUGAUCUGUAAUUGUCUUGAUAUUUUAAUCAUUAGUAGCAGGUUGGAAUUAGUGAUUUCAAUUGAAGAACAUAACCUAGGUUAAAUAAUCCAAGCUUGUGUGUUUAUUGCCUAAAUCAACCUAAUAUAUUUCUCUGUUUAAUGCUUCCAUUAUCUUAAAUUUAAAGAGCUUGUUUAAAAUUAUUUAAUGGUUAGAGAUUAGGUGAAGAGCUUGUUUUGCCUAACAACACACUAAGGAAAGAUUGAGACUAACAGAGCUUAUUAUUGUCUACGAUUGAUAGUUUCAAUAUAAAUUGAUAAUAGAAUUGAUAUAUUAUGUGCAUGUGUGGUGGUGGCGAAUGAUCCUUUAACCAAAGUUUUCAUCAUUAUUAUUUCUUUCUCCUUUAAUUAGAGUUUUUAUUAAAUUCUUGUUCGUAGUUUAAAUUUCUUUACUUCUUACUAUUUAGUUAAAAAUUCAUAAACCCCCUUUUUAUUAGAGGUGGACAUUUUACCCAACCCGACCCGAUAAAUUUCGGGUUCAGGUCGGAUCGGGUCGAGAUCGAAACCCGAUCGGUUUGAAAUUUACAAACCCGAUCGAGUUGUGAUCGGAUCGGGUCAAACCCGACCCGAUCCGAAUACCCGAUCGGGUUCUAAAAAAAAAAAACGUAAGCUAACAGUCUAAGUGUCUAACACUGCAUACACACAGAGCAAUGGUUUCACUUUCAAACUUUCAAUCACUUAAGUUAACACUAACAGUAGCAACAAAAUUGCAGUAAACAAAUUUAAGAAGAACUGAAGAAGAUGUUUAACACUUUAACAGUUUAAGCCACAGGCCCACAGUCAAUGAGUCAACACUCAACAGCAACUACACAAGUCACACACAUACGCUGCUCGCUCGGCUGCUGCACAACACACACACACAUAACUUGUCACAAGCUGCACAGCACACAGCCACACGGCCCACACACACAUACGCCGCUGCACACACACAACACAACUACACAAGUCACAAGCUGAAGCUGCACACUUGCACAGCACACACACAGAAUGACAGAACAAAACAAGACAGAACAGAACACACACGAGCUGCACAGCACAUACACACGCUGCAUAGCCACUCAAGUCUCAACAAUUCACUCGCAAACCUAACACACACUCAUACACACGCUGUCAGCCACAACUCACAAGUUCAAACAACUAAACAAACACAAACAACUUAACAAUAGAACAAGGCAGCCGCAACCCGCAAGUCUGCAACCACCAACCAGCCACCACAAGACGGAUCUGUUGCUGCCAACUGCUAAAGAAAUCACGAUCUGUUGCUGCCAAGUGAAGUCGCAACUAGUCGUGAGCCGUCCGCAUCUCCGCGAUCUGCUGCCAAGUGAAAUCCCGUCCGUCCAGCCGUGAGCCGUGGCCACCGAUCUGCUGCUUGAAGGCCGAAUCCUCUCCACCCGAACCCAAUUUUGAAGCUUUCCGGUUUCCACCUUCCAUUUUGAAGUUUCAAGCUUCAAGCUUCAAGCCUUCAAGCCUUCAAGCCUUCAAGCCUUCAACUUUAUUGAAGUUCCCAAGUCGUUUCAGACUUUUAAUUUUCCUUUAGUUCAACUUCACGCCUCACGGUAUAUAAGUAUAUAACUAUAUAUACACUAUAUAAUUAAUUAAUUAUAUAUGUGCUAAAUAAUUUAUUACUUUAUUAUGUAAUUGAGUAAUUGGUUAAUUGUUAUUAUUUAAUUGUUGUAAUUAACUAAUUAUGUAUUUAUAAAUAUUAGUAAUAAAAUCAAGGAAAUUUUGUUAAUUAUUGAGCUCAUCAGAAAUUAUUUUUUUGUCAUAUAUAAAAAGGAAUUGAAUAUUGAUGAUUGGUGAUUUGGUGGGUUUUGUUUUUAUUUAAUUGAUUAUUAAUUUUUUAUCGUUGGCUCUCUUUAGCGAAUUAGACUAUAACAAAUUAACAAUCAAGCACAAAGAAUAUAUGAAAAUGGUGUAAGUUUUUAUUUGGAAAUUGUGCUUUGGACUUUGUAAGUUUGUAUUAAUUUUAACUUUUAUUAAGUUUAGAACUUUGGAUUUUGUUGAUUGAGCAAAUAAUAGUCCUAAUUCUACCCUCUAAGUCCAAGCCAAUAGGCAAAUAAUCCUAUUAUAGCUUUUUAACUUUAUUCAUUUGAAUUAAUAACAUUUUCUUUUCUUUUUUUCAGUUGAAAAUUAGUAAAAAUGACUACAAUUAAGAAAAAUGUCUUAAAACUUUCAUAAAAAACGACAAUAAUAGGAAAAAAAGAGAUCAAAAUUGUAUUUAACCGAAUUUGAUCCGAAUUGACCUAAUUUAAACUGACCCGAACUGACCCGAAUUAACCCGAACUGACCCGAAUUGACCCGAUUUCAACCGACCCAAACUGACUCGAAUUAACCCGAAUUGACCCGAACUCAAUCCUACCCGUUUUAAAUCCAACUCGAUCCAACCCGAAUAUAACCCGAAUUAAUGACCCAACCCGAACUACGUUCGGGUCAGUUCGGGUCGGGUCAUUAAUUCGGGUUAUGUUCGGAUUGUUCCUUGUCUAACCCGAAACCCGAUCGGGUUGACCCGAACCGGAUUUUGCCCACCCCUACUUUUUAUUUAUAAUUGUAUUUUCUUUAGUUAGAUUAAUUUAUAUUAUUAUUACUAUUAUUAUUACUACUAUUAUUUUAUUUUAAAUCUUGCUUUAGAGUUGAUAAUAAAUAUAACUACAUAGUCUUUGUGGGAUCGAUCCUUACUCGCUUUGUACUAAUUAUUUAUAUUAGUGGUAAGGUUUUAAAUUUGGUACACCUUAACGACACUACCAAUUAUUAUGGUCACUAUUGUUUGUUCCCAAAUGAUCUCUAGGUUAGCUCAUUUAAUUGACUGCGCCACUACUGAAUUAAUAAGUAAGAUAACUAAUUAUUUGGGUUAAAAGCCUAAAUAUAUUAUUUAGUGAGCGGCUCCAUGUAAUGUACUUGUGUCUAAGAAGCCUUGUGUUAUUUUACAAGGUGGGCCCUUAUGACAAGAAAGAAGUAACAUUACUUUUGGUUUAUUAUUUUUAAUUUAAAUCAAACUUGAUUUAAUAUAAUAAAAUAAUAUUAAAAAAAUAGAGCCUAGGGUUUCCACUAGAUAGAGAUAUAAAAGGGCUUAUACUCUUCCAAAAGAAGGUGGAGCAGCUACUUUAUACAGAUCAGAUAAAAAGAUUUUUCUCUCUAAUUUUGAGAGAAAAAUUUUCUCGUGCUAGUUGCUUUAGUGGUGAUAAAGGCAUCCACACAUCAAGUGCAAAUAAAACCUAAGUCAUAACCUGGAAGAUCAUUGGUGACAGUUCUUGAUCUAACAAGUGUGGUGGUGACAAAUCGUGAUCUAACAGGCGUGGUGGUGACGGAUCGUAAUCUAGGAGCCUAGUUUCACUUCAGCGGAAAAAGCAAAGAUUGUUCAUCUUCUCAGAUUUUCAAGGUACGAUUUCUAGAUUACGAAUUCUUAUAUAUUGUAUAAGAUCGACCCUAAAAAAUUUUUUUUAAUUUAAAAAACUGAUUUUUCUCCAACAUCUUCUUCAUCAUCCUCCAUAUCCGCCCGGUCAACCAAGAACUUACCAUCAGGGGGAUCUCCAAUUGAAUUGGAGAGUUGGACUAAAUCGUCCAUGUUCGGAUUAGCCAACAUGGGCUCACUAGGAUUGGUACCAACAUGAAGGUUAAUAGUGUUCGUUUCAGGGAGGAAAGAGAUGGCAAAGUGGUUCGCAGGAUUGAGUUUUGUGGGUACAACGGUUGGCUUUGGGAGAUUAGACAAAAGAUGUGGAUGGUUUGCAUGGUUUGCAUGGGCCUUGGUUUUAUUACGUAGGAAGCCAGGGGAGUGCAUGUGUUUUGAGCUAGAGGCUAUAGGAUGGUGGACCAUAGGAAGGCCAUGUUUGGAGGUGUCCUCACGUGGAUGGUUAGAGAAGCGGGUCGAGCUUUUUGUUUUCUUUUGUUUAUUAUUGGAAGGGAAAGGCCGGUUACUUUCUUCGUGAGUUGGCAUAUGGAUACUCUUGGUAACCAAAGAUUCCUUAUUCAAGCCAUGGUUAGAAAUCUCAUCAUCAACGCUAGCUAGGACAUCGAAGCGUGAUUACUUUCCAAAAUACUCCCGCUGAUCACGUUCAGAAUCCCAGGUGAGCUCUUUUGCCUUUUCUACACGAGACCUGCCUUUUCUAGCCACAACCAUCCAGGGACCAAAUGUAACGCCCACUUUUAUUUAUUUAUUUUUUUCCUCUUUUUCCCUUAUUAAAUUGAGUAGGAUAGUUAUUAUUGAAUAUUUGUGUGAGAGUAAAAUUUAUCAAAUUGCUUUAAAUAAGUUACGUAAGUUGUUAGUUUUUAUAAAAAAAAAUUAAUAAUUAUCAAAUAUUUAAGAGGAAGCCAUCUUUUUAAGCCGUCUUUUAUUUUUUUACACCGUUACAAACCCUAGAAAAAAAAAAAGAAAGAAACAUAAGUCUUUGGAGCAGGAAAAGAAAGUUUUAUAACUUCUUUUCUUAGUGUUUGCCUUAAGGUAUUAAGUAUUUCUUUGACUUUUAUGAUUUAUUUUUAUAAAUUGUUUGCCUUUAAUUACUUGUAGUAUGAUUUGGGUAAUAUAUGUGUAUUUGUAAUGUUGUGAUGAUAUGAAUAGUCUCUAUUCCUUGCUUGAAAUCGUUUUCUUUACUUAGAAUCAAAUAAAUAUGCUUACAUAUCAUGGAACUAGACAUCAUAAGCUUUCCAUUGAUAGGUUUUGUGUUGAAAUCAUCUGAGUAUGCAAAUUGUUAUGGGUUUUCGAAGUUGGGUUACUAGUGCUGGAAAAUUCUGAUUUUAAGCAGUGGUUCUCAAUUCUAGAAAUUUUUCUGUAAAGUUACACAUCCUUAAAAAGUAUGGCGAUUUUUGUAUCAACAGAUCUAUGUCUCCUAUGCUUGCAUGUUUAAUUUCGUAGUUUUAUUCUUUAUGGUUAAAUUAUUAAAAAUCAUAACAUGUGGCUGCUGCAAAUCUGGAAACUGUUUUCCAGAAUUGCAGAAGCUGAAACAUGUAACAGUUGGGCUAAUUUAUGAAUAUUACAUGCCAUGUUAGGAUUUUACAAUGAAAUUCUGUUUUCAAAUCUGGAAUUUUCUGGACAGGUUAGAUGUUCUCGGAAAAUAAAACAUUUUAAAAUAGUUUCAGGAGUCCAAAAAUUAUGAAUUUUAAUUAUAUGCUUUCUGAAUGUGUCUUCUGUAAUUAGAUAAAAAAAAAGAAACAUAUUAUUUCGAUUACUAAAGAAUAUUUUAUGAAUUUCCUAAGUGGUAAAGGUUUGUUUUGGUCAAUGCUGGGCAGUUUUGUUACUUUGGUGAAAGGUCAUUAUUCUGACUCGAUUUUGACUUGUGCUGAUCUUUGUGAAAUAUUGUAUGCAAUGCUAUGCAUGUUCAUAGUGCCUCUGUAAAUUUUCGUGGUUUUCGGACAUGUGUAUAUUUUAUUAAAAAUCAGCAUGUGCAAGAUACUCAUACUUAUGUCUAGAUUAUGAAUAAGUAUUGAGCUAGUAUAAGUGGCUAUGAAUUAAGGAUGAUUCAAAUUAUGUUUAAGGUUCGAGAUGAUAUUGAUAAAGAUAUUUUUAUGAUGAUUAUAGGAUAUGGGUGAGCUCGUUGGUUUGUUCUUAAGGUAUUGAGUUGAUUGUUGCGGAUCGAGGUAAGUAGAUUCAUGCAUGAUGUGCUUUAUAAUAAAUGUGAUUUAUGUCAUAGGAAUUAUGUUUAAAUGGAGAUUUUUACAAAAUUGAUUUCUAAAAUAUUUAAAUGAAUUUUGUAAAAUAAAAACACUUUUAAAUGAAUUUAUAAAAAUGUGUUUUAAAAUGAAUUUUUCUUAAGAAAUUAGUUUUCUUAAACAAAAUGUUUUCAUAAAGAAUUUUCUUAAAGAAUUAAAUGAUCAAAGAAAUGUUCUUAAAUGUUUUAUAAGACUUUAAAUGCUAUUUAUGAAAGGAUGUAAGGUGGAUUCAAAAAUGUUUUGGCUCAUAGUCCAUCGUAAUGUAUACAAUGCAAAUGUUAUGAUGUUAUGUAAUGUUAUGGCCAGCUUGCUGGUAUGAUGAUGAUCUUGUGCACAAGGAUAUUAUGAACAAUGCGGGGUAUAGUACCCUGAAUGAGGAAUAAUGUGGGGUAUAAUGUUGUGCAAAUUUUAAUGUACUCGCAAGCGCACGAAUCUAUUGUAGUAUAGAUCUAUGGUGACGAGUGUCGAUCCCACGAGGAGGUGGAUUUUAAUUGUGUAGAAUUAAUUUUGUAAAUGGGUGAUUGGAUUUAUGGUGGAAAUGAUUUGGAAUAUGCUAAAACUUAAAUUAAAAUGGCGAGAAUAAAUUCUAAAAUUGGUAUUGAAAUGGCGAGAAUAAAUUGACGAGAAUUAUAUUGAAAUGACGUACUUGGGUAUCUGGAUUCGUAUCAACAUACAUCAUGGGCUAAAUAAUCCGUAUUAAUGCCAAUUAAAUCAUGAGGGGGGAAUCCACACCUCAUGAACCACGCUCUAAUCAAUAUGGUGCUAAGGGCUUAUCAUGCCAAAUAAUAAUAACCUUAUACUAGAGAGCCGGUGUAACCAAGGCGGUAUCUAGACAAGACUAUUAUUAUUUGUCGACGAGAAGUCAAAACAUCCACAAAAAUUAGAGGGGAAGAGAAAAUAAAUUUACCAAAUUAAGCCCAUGACACAUGUUGAGACUUCACCUUCAACCCAAGCUUGAAAGAAAAUUAGCCACUCAUAAUUGAACUAGGGGCAAAAUGGGAAUUUAUUAAAAUACGAAGAAAAUACAAGAUGGAGAAGGAAUUAAAGAAAAUGGAUCCCAAAAAUGGAUUCAGAGAUAUCAAAUUAGGGGGGAGAGGCCCCCUUUUUAUAGAUACAUGGAGUAAAUCAUGGCCAUCGGAUUAAAAACAGUUUGGACGCUCAGGAUUGCGCCACGUCAUCAGUCAACAGUCCACGGUUUGACCACGCGGAUGAACAGUAACACGGUUUGACCCGACUUUGAACAGUAACGCGGUUUGACCCGGAUGAACAGUAACGCGGUUUGGUUGAAAAUAAUCCUGUGUGAUGCAUGCACCGUACGCGAGAUUUUUCAUCCACUGAUAUGCUGCCACGUCACCAUCAACAGUACAUAAGAAUUUUAGUCCAACAGGAUCGUGACACCUCAUCAGUCAAUGUCACAUCAUCGGUCAAUGCCACGUCAUCAUCCGUCUAUGUGAACAGUGUCGUGAACAGUAACGUAUACAGUACCGUACACGUGAAUAGUACCGUACAUGUGAAUAGUGCCAUUUUUCCUUUUAUGCUCCUCUUAAGGUUUUCGACUGUCCUGAGUUCAAAAGUGAUGUCUGUUUUGCCGUCUGAUCUCUCCUUUAUUGUGAAAUGACUAUAAUGCCCCUAAAAUACAUAAAAUACUUAAUUAAAAUAAAACACAUGUAAUUAAAUCACAAGAAGGUUAAAUACAUAAAAGUAAGGGUUGUUAGUAAGACUUGAAAUGUAAAAUGACGGUUUUCUCCUUUAUAAAUAUGCAUUUUCUAACACUCAACAUAUAACACCCUAAAUUAUGAAUGAUGAAUGAUGAAUGAUGAUGACUACAAGGCAUGAGCUACCAAAUGUUUAUAUUUUAAAUUUUUUUUAUGAAUGUUUUAAUGUUUUUAAUGUUUUUACAUGAAUCCACCCCUUAUGCUAAAUGAAGAUGUUGUUAUAAAAUGUUUAAAGGUAUACGCCAAAGGUUUUUAAAUAUUGUGCAUGGAUUUGGUGACCGAGUUGACGACUCACCCCUCGUCUCUAAUAUUUUGCAGAUUGAUUAGAAAUGUGGCUUGGGUGCUUAGAUGGAGAAUUUUUCUUAGUGGAUCUUUGGAGUUGCUUUAAAGAUUAAAUUUGGCUAGACUUUUUAUUUUGAAUUAGAGAUUUUUCUUUGGAGGCUUUAUUUUACAUGUUUUAUGUAAGGAUUCAGUUGAAGUAUUAAUAAUGAUUGUCUAUCUUGAGAUUUAUUAAUAAGAAUAAAUGAUAUGAGGUUUCAUUCAAAUUUUGCCCUUGUGUUUUCAUGGGUAAUUUUUGGGGUGUUACACCAAACCUAGGCAAAUUCCCAUAUCCCUCCCCGACGUCCUGCAUCGGUGAUUCUGUUGUGAAACAAACCCUUUGAUGUCGAAUUAAUCUUGCCCCCUAGAUCUAAUUCAGACUCCAAGAUUAAGAACCAAAUCAACACAAGUCAUAACACUCACCAGAUCAAAGAAUAACAACACAAAAAAUACAAAAUACAAAACAAUUUAAGUGGUUCAGCACCUGUUACAGUGCCUACAUCCACUGGAGAAAACAAACUCAGGGAGCCACUUUAUUAAGCUUCAAAGGUUACAGAGAUGAUAAGCCCAAUACAGAGAACACUCAAAAAAGUUCCACUCUCUCUAAGGCUUCCUUAUCACUCUCAAUUCGAUAGAUCUAGAUGAAAUCAUAACCAACAUAUAUAUCAGCUGCUACUGGCGUUACAGAUCUAGAAGAUUCCCUCCAAAACUAACAAACUUAACUGCUUGACCACGAGCCUUUCACGUGCAACUUAAAGCCUUCCUUAAACGACGAUAAGGCAUGCCGUUUAAGCUUUAAAACAAGCUUAUGUUAAUCACGUGAGAGUUUAAUGAUCUUGGACGACAGCACCAAGUUGUCGGUUCUGGAUCCAUGACCAAUUGAAACAACAUGUCACUUGACUUUCCAAACCUCUAAACGACAAAUCGUUUACCCAGUUUGAGUUCAUUUCAACAGAUUCGUUAGCUCCGUCCAGAUGUGGCUGGUUUCCUAAGGCAUGAUCUUCUUCCGUUCGAUUAGGGCAGAUGUCCUUGCUAUGGCCAUAUUUACCACAUAGGAAGGAAAUAUUAGGGAGUCCUUCAUAUUCCACCUUCUGUAGCUUGCCAUCCAGUAAAAAUUGAGAAAUUAAGGGCUUGUUCGGAUCAAUUUCAACAGCAAGACGAGCAAAUUUGCCUCUGGAUGCGGAUUCAGUGUUGUAAUCAAUUUUAGAAACUCUCCCGAAAAUUUGUCCCAACAUUCGGGAGAAUUUUCGUAUUGUAGUAAUGUAGGGCCAUGCCUGGUAAGCGGAUUCAGGCUAUAACAUAUUCAAUCACUGCUGCCGAACUAUCAAAAUGGGGAGUCCAUUGCUUCACUGUUAGAUAGUGCCCCAGAAUAAUCCAAGGGCCUUGCGUCAAAGCGAACUCCACAUCCCUCUCUGUUCUGAAACGAACAAGAUAAUAAUCAUUUUCAAGGUCAAUUACAGAAAACCCUUGGGUCGAGCUCCAGAUGGCUUCCAAGCUGUUGCACAGCGUCCGGUAAACUAUGCGACGACCCCAAAGCUUGAACACCACCGUGUAUUGCCAUGGUUUCAUUAGUUGAGCAUGUACUUUCUGUGAAAAAGAAACGGAGUGAAAGGAAAGAGGCUGCACACUCAAAAACCACAUCUUCCAGUUCAACUACCAAAUCUUCCCCGCUAUCAAAAAACACUCCUUCAUCCACCCUUGUGUUGACAUCAGUUUAUCACGAAAGGAAGGAGGCUGAGGAUUGUCACCAUCUUCCCCUUGAGCCUUAAAUCUUGCUUUCUUUGUGGAACGAUCGUCAGCCAUAGGUGGAUUAGGGUUUUUCUCCAUUUCAAUUUUUCCUCACAUUAGGAACUCUUUUUUUUUUAAUUGGUUAUAUUUACUUUUUGAUUCUUGUAACUUUUUUCUUUAAGUGCCACCGCUCUAAUUUCUAUCCUCAUUUAACAGACUGCGGGUUGCGUUUGUCACUGUUAGCUGCACAUUGCCAUUUUUCGUGAGUAUGAUUUGCCGUAUGCAUGGAUACUGAAAGUAUCCCUUGUGCUAAAAAUGCUAUGAACCAUCCUUGAAUAAUCAAGUAUAACUGCAUGCAGAACAAAUUCAGCCGUUCUCAUGUUUUAGGUAGCAAAUAAUUAUCUUGUAGGAAUUAGAAUGAGCCUGACUUAAGUAUUUGCAUAUCCUGAAGACUUUUAUUCUCAAUAAAAAGUAACAUAUAUAUAUAUAUAUAUAUAUCAUUUCUUUUUCAUUUAUAAACCUUGAUCAAUGAGGGAAUUUAUUUUAUUAUCGAAAAGAGAUCCCUCAGAAGAAAGAAAAGCGGAGGCCAACAUCAACUGAAACUGCACUCUCUGGGAAUUCGCAACGCAUCAUGCAUUAUAAUUCAUCAUCAGCCUUUGGUGCCAGGAGAUGCUGUGAAAGCCAUGUGUUUGUCCCCCAAGGGAAUGGGCUGAAAAAGCAAUGUAAAACCGACAUCGAUAGUCUGUUGGUUUUGAACACCAUGCCCAUCUCCAUGUAGAUACAUAAAAUGGGACAUUCUCACAAGAUUCAAGAGGAACUCAGUAGUUGUUCGAGUCAAGGGAGAGUCUUUGUCGGCUGUGUAUGCAUUCACCUUCUUCCACAUCUGUCUCAUCAUAUCCUUGAUGUGUUCACGAGCAACUUCCUCCGAGGCACCAGUUUCAUGCAUGUAACACUGGAUUGAUUUCGGAACAUCCCCUCUCUGUAUCUCGUCCUGAUGAUUAUCGGGGAAAAAAAAAAUACAAUCAAUUCAUAUAUAGAGGAUUAAUUCAAUUGCUGUCGUCUAAAAAUAAAAAAUAAAAAAAGACAUACCGAUGAAGUUCCCAAAUCAUCUUGCAGACGGAAAAUCUUGGAUGACCAGUGAACUAUAUCUGGAUUACUUUCUAGAAAUUCCAGUUCCUUCUUAAUGAUUGGAUUUGUACCAGAAAGAUAUGAAAUCGUUAUAAUUAAAGGGCCCGUUAUUGAUACCAAUCCAUUUUCCAAGUAUUCUUCCAGUUUCGGUGUGUACUUGCUAUGGUACCAUUUCGCCUCCACCAAGUAGGCUUGUAUUAAGCCAAGCCACUGAUGCACAUGGCACAGAAAAUAUACAACUAGUUACGGUUUAUAAUUUUUGAGAAAAAAAGAACGUCGUAAUUUAAAAAGGAUAAAUCAAAGGAAAGGAACAGGGAGAGAGGUCAAAUUAAUAUUUCACGUACUGCAUUUUUAAUGCUCAGAAGCAUAUCAAAAUCCUGUUGUUUGAGAACGUAAUAAGCAAAUUCAUUAACAAAGUUGUAAAGCGCAAGAAAACACAUUUUCAUAUAGCCCGGAAGGUGCUUCAAAGCAUAAUUGAUGUCCCACCUGCAAGAAAAAAAAAUCACAUAAACGGUCUAUUAAUAAAUUGAGAAGUACCAUGCAGCUAGGUAGCAGUUGAAUUAUUAAUUUGCCAAAAAACCUCUCAACAGCAUCAGUGAAUAGCUCAAGUUCAUCCAAUGUUCCAUAGACAUCAUAAAUGUCAUCAAUCACUGUAAUUAGGGCUAUCGAGAUUGUGAGCACCCUCCUGCAGUAGGCGAAUUGAGGCUCAAACGCGAUCCCCAUACUCCAUAAGAAGGACGCUACCAACCUGUUCCUCGCAAAGCUCAAUUUCUCUCCAAGACCUGUAUCCUUCCACCACCUUCAUAGGAAAAUUAAAACGAAUAUUACGACACAUGUUUUAUAUAUCUAUAUAUAUAGAAUCAGCUUUCUGUCUGGAAUUCUGAAGAAUAUUUCUCUGAUACAAGCAUUCUCAUUUUAUAAAGCACAUGACUUGUGGCUUUACAAUGCAUUUACAUAUAGAGUCAUCUUCUAGUUCGAGAUUCUUUAAUGCAAACGUUUGGCAUAAUUUAAUAUACAUUUAUAUAAAGUGUAGGCUGGCGCCUUUAUACUGCUGUAAAAGGCGGAGGCUGCACUUGAGAAUAAUUUAAUAUACAUAUGAUUAAAUUGUACAAGUUAUCUAUUCGAUAAAAUCAAAUCUUUGGAAUAUAUAUGAGUUAUGAAAUCAAGGCAUAGAUACCCUGAAAUUUCUUUAAGUUCUUCCUGGUAAAUUGCCUGCAAAGUGUUAAACUCCAUCUUAGCGAGCUCAAGUAAAAGGUGGUUCUUGUCCUCUC